Long non-coding RNA from Manacus vitellinus (golden-collared manakin), 1251 nucleotides. RefSeq lists it as uncharacterized. The record is from RefSeq and is a predicted model, not a curated record. NCBI's taxonomy places the organism in Eukaryota, Metazoa, Chordata, Aves, Passeriformes, Pipridae. The transcript has 4 exons.
GGGCACCACUGUGGGUUCUUUGCUCAGCCUGCCCUGGCAUCAAUCCCAGCUGCUCAGGGGAUGCCUUUGGCUGUUCCCCCUGUUUGAACAGGGGGGUCUGGCCCGAGUCCAGCUCAGGUCGUGCAUCUCUAAACCACCAGGGUGCUGUGUCCAUUGCUCCCACCAGGACUCGCUUUCUAAUGCAGAUUUUUAGUUCAUUAGUGCAGUGGUGCAUUAAAAUGGAUCUCGGUUAAAAGGCUAAGCUAAUGUAAAAAAUGCCAAAUGAUUCCUCCCUGCCCUCCCCCCCAAAUUCUCUGAUUCAUUUUUGCCUUGACUUGGGCAGAGGGAAGGGCCAGUGUUCUGCAGAAUUCAGUCUGCUGGCUGGGGAGUCCUGGGCACUGAGGCCCUGAGGACUGUGUGUGUCAGACCUGCAGGACUUCAGGAUCCAUCCCUGGAACAGACCGAGAGGUGACUGAGAGACUGUCGUGUUCUGCUUCAUUCCUGGUGGAACUGGACGGGGGUUUGUGGUCACCAGGGUGCUGCUGUCUCCUCCUUGCUGAGUGAUGAACCUGGAGGGUGGUGCUGGUCCCCAGGGAGAGUCCCUCCCCUUUGCUGCUGACAAGGACCCAAGACUUAUUAAGUCAUUUGGCCUCCUGGGAAGAGUUGUUCCUGUGACAGAGUGGAGAUGACACUGCUGAGCCUCACAGUGUCAUCCCUGUCAGAAGCCAGCCUGGAAAGCCUGGAUCUCCUCCCCUCAAAUUUUACCUCAUUUUUCUGGGCCAGGAAGAAGAGGGAUUACCUCAUUUCCACCUCCUAUGAAAUAAAUCCUCAUUAUGGAUUUGCACCUGGGGAGGAAGAAGCUGAUUUGCACUCCCAGCCGGUUCUGAGCAGAUAUUUGAAGCUCAUCUCGUGGGGAGCACAGUCAUUUAGUGCUUGAUGCUUCAGGGCUGUGGUGGGCUGACACACCACGAGCUUCCCCCCAGCCUCUGGUCCCACUGGUGGGAGAGGACGGGAGGAUUUGUUUGUGCAGGUCCUGAUCCCAGUGAAAUGGAGAAAAUGUAAGUCAGACUAAAGUACCAAAACCAAAUACAGCAGAGGAGCCUUCCAGAGGCUUCCAGGGGGCAUCCAGAGGUGCUUGCAGAGGAGCCUGGAAGCACACAGCAGCCUGGAGCCCCAGGAAGCACAGGGAAGAGCAUUCUGUGGUCAGUGCCCUCACUCCAGAGCUCCUUGGCUCCAUCCAGCCCGUGUGUGCCUGGGGCUGUGCUUCAGCCC